RNAcentral lists this unclassified non-coding RNA (329 nucleotides) under soil metagenome. RNAcentral's name for it is "partial contains 5.8S ribosomal RNA, internal transcribed spacer 2, and large subunit ribosomal RNA". The stretch from base 1 to 120 matches the Rfam family "5.8S ribosomal RNA", at positions 35 to 154 of the family's 154-position model. The record is from RNAcentral.
GAUGAAGAACGCAGCGAAAUGCGAUAAGUAAUGUGAAUUGCAGAAUUCAGUGAAUCAUCGAAUCUUUGAACGCACAUUGCGCCCCCUGGUAUUCCGGGGGGCAUGCCUGUCCGAGCGUCAUUACAACCCUCAAGCUCAGCUUGGUGUUGGGCCCCGCCGCCCCGGCGGGCCCUAAAGUCAGUGGCGGUGCCGUCCGGAUCCGAGCGUAGUAAUUCUUCUCGCUCUGGAGGUCCGGUCGUGUGCUCGCCAGCAACCCCCAAUUUUUUUCAGGUUGACCUCGGAUCAGGUAGGGAUACCCGCUGAACUUAAGCAUAUCAAUAAGCGGAGGA